RNAcentral lists this unclassified non-coding RNA (328 nucleotides) under soil metagenome. Its description in RNAcentral is "partial contains 5.8S ribosomal RNA, internal transcribed spacer 2, and large subunit ribosomal RNA". The stretch from base 1 to 119 matches the Rfam family "5.8S ribosomal RNA", at positions 35 to 154 of the family's 154-position model. The record is from RNAcentral.
GAUGAAGACGCAGCGAAAUGCGAUAAGUAAUGUGAAUUGCAGAAUUCAGUGAAUCAUCGAAUCUUUGAACGCACAUUGCGCCCUCUGGUAUUCCGGGGGGCAUGCCUGUUCGAGCGUCAUUAUAACCACUCAAGCUCUCGCUUGGUAUUGGGGUUCGCGGUUCCGCGGCCCCUAAAAUCAGUGGCGGUGCCUGUCGGCUCUACGCGUAGUAAUACUCCUCGCGUCUGGGUCCGGUAGGUCUACUUGCCAGCAACCCCCAAUUUUUACAGGUUGACCUCGGAUCAGGUAGGGAUACCCGCUGAACUUAAGCAUAUCAAUAAGCGGAGGA